This 122-nucleotide ribosomal RNA is filed under the name Pachypsylla venusta (hackberry petiole gall psyllid). The record is from RNAcentral. Lineage: Eukaryota; Metazoa; Arthropoda; Insecta; Hemiptera; Aphalaridae.
GCCAACGAUUAUACCACGUUGAAUACACCAGUUCCCGCCAGAUCACUGAAGUUAAGCAACGUCGGGCGUGGUCAGUACUUGGAUGGGUGACCGCUUGGGAACACCAUGUAUCGUUGGCUCAU